This 461-nucleotide ribosomal RNA is filed under the name uncultured bacterium. RNAcentral describes it as "SSU rRNA". It matches the Rfam family "Bacterial small subunit ribosomal RNA", at positions 26 to 518 of the family's 1533-position model. The record is from RNAcentral.
AGGACGAACGCUGGCGGCGUGCUUAACACAUGCAAGUCGAGCGAACCUUCGGGUUAGCGGCGAACGGGUGAGUAACACGUGGGCAACCUGCCCCGAGCUCUGGGAUAACUCCGGGAAACCGGGGCUAAUACCGGAUAUGACCCGAGAAGACAUCUUCUCGGGUGGAAAGUUUUUCGGCUCGGGAUGGGCCCGCGGCCUAUCAGCUUGUUGGUGGGGUAACGGCCUACCAAGGCGACGACGGGUAGCCGGCCUGAGAGGGCGACGGCCACGACUGGGACUGAGACACGGCCCAGACUCCUACGGGAGGCAGCAGUUAGGGAAUUUUGUCAAUGGGCGAAAGCCUGAACGAGUGACGCCGCGUGCGGGAUGACGCCUUUCGGGGUGUAAACCGCUUUUCCCAAGGACGAGGAUGGACGGUACUUGGGGAAUAAGUCUCGGCUAACGUACGUGCCAGCAGCCGC